AGGGGCAGCGGGGUAGUGCUUGCACUACUGCCGGCGACCGGCGCACGGGUGAGUAACACGUAUGGAACCUGCCCGCAGCAGGGGGAUAAGCGGAAGAAAUUCCGUCUAAUACCGCGUAAGAACGUUGGGAGGCAUCUCCCGAUGUUUAAAGAUUUAUCGGCUGCGGAUGGCCAUGCGGCGCAUUAGCUAGUCGGCGGGGUAACGGCCCACCGAGGCGACGAUGCGUAGGGGUUCUGAGAGGAAGGUCCCCCACACUGGUACUGAGACACGGACCAGACUCCUACGGGAGGCAGCAGUGAGGAAUAUUGGUCAAUGGCCGAGAGGCUGAACCAGCCAAGUCGCGUGAGGGAAGACGGCCCUACGGGUUGUAAACCUCUUUUGUCGGGGAGCAAAGCGAACCACGUGUGGUUCAUUGGGAGUACCCGAAGAAAAAGCAUCGGCUAACUCCGUGCCAGCAGCCGCGGUAAUACGGAGGAUGCGAGCGUUAUCCGGAUUUAUUGGGUUUAAAGGGUGCGCAGGCGGAGGUGCAAGUCAGCGGUCAAAUUGCGGGGCUCAACCCCGUACUGCCGUUGAAACUGCAUCCCUUGAGUGCGCGAGAAGUAUGCGGAAUGCGUGGUGUAGCGGUGAAAUGCAUAGAUAUCACGCAGAACUCCGAUUGCGAAGGCAGCAUACCGGCGCGCAACUGACGCUCAUGCACGAAAGCGUGGUUCGAACAAAGUUAGAUACCCUGGUAGUCCACGCAGUAAACGAUGAACACUAACUGUUCGGCCAGAAUGAUGGCUGAGUGGUACAGCGAAAGCGUUAAGUGUUCCACCUGGGGAGUACGCCGGCAACGGUGAAACUCAAAGGAAUUGACGGGGGCCCGCACAAGCGGAGGAACAUGUGGUUUAAUUCGAUGAUACGCGAGGAACCUUACCCGGGCUCAAACGACACAGGAAUACUUUUGAAAGGAGGUAGCCCUACGGGGUCUGUGUCGAGGUGCUGCAUGGUUGUCGUCAGCUCGUGCCGUGAGGUGUCGGCUUAAGUGCCAUAACGAGCGCAACCCCUAUCGCCAGUUACCAUCAAGUAAAGUUGGGGACUCUGGCGAGACUGCCGGCGCAAGCUGAGAGGAAGGCGGGGAUGACGUCAAAUCAGCACGGCCCUUACGUCCGGGGCGACACACGUGUUACAAUGGCAGGUACAGAGAGAAGCCAGGUGGUGACACCGAGCGGAACUCGAAAGCCUGUCUCAGUUCGGAUCGGAGUCUGCAACCCGACUCCGUGAAGCUGGAUUCGCUAGUAAUC
RNAcentral lists this ribosomal RNA (1283 nucleotides) under uncultured bacterium. RNAcentral's name for it is "bacterial SSU rRNA". It matches the Rfam family "Bacterial small subunit ribosomal RNA", at positions 65 to 1343 of the family's 1533-position model. The record is from RNAcentral.